AGGGAAUCUUCCGCAAUGGACGAAAGUCUGACGGAGCAACGCCGCGUGAGUGAUGAAGGUUUUCGGAUCGUAAAACUCUGUUGUUAGGGAAGAACAAGUAUCAUUCGAAUAGGGCGGUACCUUGACGGUACCUAACCAGAAAGCCACGGCUAACUACGUGCCAGCAGCCGCGGUAAUACGUAGGUGGCAAGCGUUGUCCGGAAUUAUUGGGCGUAAAGCGCGCGCAGGCGGUUUCUUAAGUCUGAUGUGAAACCUUGCGGCUCAACCGCAAGCGGCCAUUGGAAACUGGGAGACUUGAGUGCAGAAGAGGAGAGUGGAAUUCCACGUGUAGCGGUGAAAUGCGUAGAGAUGUGGAGGAACACCAGUGGCGAAGGCGACUCUCUGGUCUGUAACUGACGCUGAGGCGCGAAAGCGUGGGGAGCGAAC
RNAcentral lists this ribosomal RNA (426 nucleotides) under uncultured bacterium. RNAcentral describes it as "bacterial SSU rRNA". It matches the Rfam family "Bacterial small subunit ribosomal RNA", at positions 356 to 773 of the family's 1533-position model. The record is from RNAcentral.